Molecule: non-coding RNA, 32 nt
Filed under: Mus musculus (house mouse)
Lineage: Eukaryota; Metazoa; Chordata; Mammalia; Rodentia; Muridae
Source: RNAcentral
UCCCUCUGUCAGAGAAGAAGAUUAAUGGUCCU